GACCGCGUAGCUCAGUUGGCAGAGCAUUGGGCUAGUAUUCGAAAGGUCGUAGGUUCGAUUCCCACCGUGGCCG
RNAcentral lists this transfer RNA (73 nucleotides) under Paramuricea clavata. It matches the Rfam family "tRNA". From Rfam's summary of the family: Transfer RNA (tRNA) molecules are approximately 80 nucleotides in length. Lineage: Eukaryota; Metazoa; Cnidaria; Anthozoa; Malacalcyonacea; Plexauridae. The record is from Rfam by way of RNAcentral.